This 290-nucleotide ribosomal RNA is filed under the name Staphylococcus epidermidis NIHLM031. RNAcentral describes it as "partial 23S ribosomal RNA". It matches the Rfam family "Bacterial large subunit ribosomal RNA", at positions 2633 to 2925 of the family's 2925-position model. Lineage: Bacteria; Bacillati; Bacillota; Bacilli; Caryophanales; Staphylococcaceae. The record is from RNAcentral.
GGUCCCUAUCCGUCGUGGGCGUAGGAAAUUUGAGAGGAGCUGUCCUUAGUACGAGAGGACCGGGAUGGACAUACCUCUGGUGUACCAGUUGUCGUGCCAACGGCAUAGCUGGGUAGCUAUGUAUGGACGGGAUAAGUGCUGAAAGCAUCUAAGCAUGAAGCCCCCCUCAAGAUGAGAUUUCCCAACUUCGGUUAUAAGAUCCCUCGAAGAUGACGAGGUUAAUAGGUUCGAGGUGGAAGCGUGGUGACACGUGGAGCUGACGAAUACUAAUCGAUCGAAGACUUAAUCAA